GUACAAGACAUUCCCUAACUCUCCAGCCAUGAAGAUCCUGGGCCUGGGUUUUAUUUUUCACUUUGCUAGUAACUAUCCAUCCAAGAAUGAAAGCAAAGACCAUCUGUCUUCUCUUUCUCACUGGACGUUCAAAACCAGAGCAGUUGGAGAAGAUGGAUUUUGGGCCCCGGCUCCUCCCUUGGCCGACACUACUGCCCCACCCCCACCCCUGGACUUUUACCUUCCCUGGUUUCUCUCUUUGUCCAUCUUAGCAUCUGUGCAGAAAAUCCUGUUUGUUUUCCCUCUUCACUCUACCCCUCACAGCCCAUGUGCAGUGUUUCUUCCUUUAAGAGCAUAAGGUUCUCAUUCUAAUUUGUGUCUGAAUCAUCAUGAGGAAAAGAUCAGAUGAAUAUCAUAUCGCUUUCAGGGUGUUCUCAUGUUCCCAUUCAACCUGCACCUUCCUCUUACUGCAUCUUGUCAUUACUCCCUCAUGCCAUAGCCUGCAACCCCAGAGCAAGUGGAAUAACCUGGGGUUGCUACCAUUCUUCUGUUUUCAUGGCUUUAUUAGAGAAAAGUAACUUUUGUGUGUGUGUGUGUGUGAGGCAGUGAGGUGAAGUGACUUCCCCAGGGUCACACAGCUAGUAAGUGUCAAGUGUGUGAGACCAAAUUUCAACUCAGGUCUUCCUGAAUCCGGGGCUGGUGUCUAUCCACUGCGCCACCUAGCUGCCCCCCAACAAGUAACUUUUAAAAAGCACCUUAAGAGGGAGUGAUAGCAUUAAUUGGUGCAGAGUUUUGCUUCUGUCCCAUGGUUGGAGAAACUGAUAUCCCAUCAGUUGGAUGGAGAAACAGAAAUUGAAUCCCAGAUUUUUUUGGCUCUUUUAGUCGACAGAUGUUUCAAAUUUCUAGCUUUAACUUUGGAUUAUUGAAGACCUUUUGCAUGCUCCUUGCUAUGGAGGAUAGAAAAGCAGGACUGUAUGGUAGAUAGAUUGGAGAGGGGAGAGACUGGAGUCAGGGAGACCAGUUAAGAGUCUGUUACAAGAGCCCAAAGGAGAGGUAAUGAGGGUUUGAGAUAGGACAAGCUGUGUGAGUGGAGAGAAGAGUAUGAUUUUUGUGGAAGGAGUAACAAGAUGGCACUUGAGGUACGUGUGGGACAGCCAGGUAGAGACAUUCAGGGAGCACUUUGUGAUAAAGUACUGAGGCUCAGGGGAAAGAUGAGGGCCAGAGAGGUCAAUUUUACAGAAAUAAUAGCUGAAGCUAUUGGAGCUAAUGAGAUCCCUGAGAAUGUAGAAAAAGAAGAGAGGAGGAUCCGAGAGAACAGAGUUGGGUAUAACCUAGGGAUAGGGACUGGGGCAUGGAUGAUGAUCCGCUAAAGGGGCUGAGUGCUGAAAAGGAGCAGUCAGGUAGGUAGAAGGAGAAUCAGAAGAGAGCAAGGUUGUGAAAAUUCGGGGAGGAGAGUGUCUGUGAGGAAGAAAUGUCAACAGGGCCAAAAGUCCUAUAGAGAUGAGUUAAGAAUAUAGCCUGGAGAAGAAAGUAUUUUUUUGGAAGUAUUUUAAAGAAAGUAUUCAUGAUACAUAGAUAUAAAUAUAUAUGCAUAUAUACAUCUAGAAAAGCAUAUAUAUAUAUAUAUAUACACACACAUAUAUGAGCAUGUAUAUAUAUAUAUAUGUAUAUAUAAUAUAUGUAUAUCCUUUCUUUUGUGUCUGAUUCCUUAGCUGUUUCUUCCAACAUAUUGUUUCUAGUCAAAUCCUAUGCUUGCAUUUAUAUUGGAGUCACUGAGUAUUAAGACAUAGGUAGAUUUAAUUUGGAAGUCUUCACUGAAUUCUUCAUAAAUUCCUCUACCUCGUUGUGCUCUGCACAGUUGUUGGCAAAUAAGUUGCAAUUAUUUUCAUGGUUGUUCAUUUUUUUGUUUUGUUUUUUACAAAUACUUAUCAUGAGCAUCACAAUACCAGAUGACUGAAUGUCUCAUACAAUGAUACAUACUUCUUGUUCACUUUGGAGACAUAACAAAACCAACUCCAUUAUUUGUGUUUUCGAAGAGAACUUGUGAGCCAUCCUUUUGUAUGGCUUCAGCUUCGUUGUAUCUUCCAUUUCAUUUAUGAUGAGAAUGUCGGUAUUGAUGUGAUUCAGUUCCUCCAGAAGUGUGUCACUUCACAAGUCCAUCACAUUCAGUGGUCAUUGGACACUUCGAGUCCUACAAAAUUAAUUUUUGUAGCUGGUCUGAAAACCAUCCUCUGGCCCCUUUGCUACCUCAUUACCGCCACAUUGCCACGUGGGGACACGUAGCACUGAGCAACAUUUUGUAUUUUUCUGUGCUUCAUGAGUUGCCAUGGCCAAAAAAUUCACACUCAGCAGCUAGUUUAUUGGUGAGAAGCCUGUCUAUAACCCCAGUACCUAGCAAAGUGUUUAGCCCACAGUAGGUACAUAACAUGUGCUUGUGGGUUGAUUAUUUGUUGUUGAUAAUACAUAUUGAUAAUAUAUUGUGAUUGGUUUUUGUUAUUAUUUGUUAAAUGUUUUAUCUUAUAGCCAUAUAUACGUGUGUCAUAUCCUCCUACUUGACUGAAAGUUCUAUUAAGCGGGAACCAAAUCUGACUAAAGCCCAGCACAGUGAUCUGUAUACAUUAAUAAAUAUUUAUUAUAUUGAGUUGAAUUAGAGGGG
Phascolarctos cinereus (koala) is the source of this 2635-nucleotide long non-coding RNA. NCBI's taxonomy places the organism in Eukaryota, Metazoa, Chordata, Mammalia, Diprotodontia, Phascolarctidae. The record is from Ensembl.